RNAcentral lists this ribosomal RNA (253 nucleotides) under uncultured bacterium. RNAcentral describes it as "partial 16S ribosomal RNA". It matches the Rfam family "Bacterial small subunit ribosomal RNA", at positions 524 to 776 of the family's 1533-position model. The record is from RNAcentral.
UACAGAGGUCCCGAGCGUUGUUCGGAUUCACUGGGCGUAAAGGGUGCGUAGGUGGCGAGGUAAGUCGGAUGUGAAAGCUCGGAGCUCAACUCCGAAAUGGCAUUGGAAACUACCUUGCUCGAGGGUUGGAGGGGGGACUGGAAUUCUCGGUGUAGCAGUGAAAUGCGUAGAUAUCGAGAGGAACACCAGUGGCGAAGGCGAGUCCCUGGACAACUACUGACACUGAGGCACGAAAGCCAGGGGAGCAAACGGG